UGUGAAUAUUUGUCCAGCAAGUACCUUCAAGGUCUCUUGGAAGGUUGGGUCCACGGUGUUCCUCUGGACUCCAGUCUUGCGUUUUCCCUGGGAGGAUCUGUCAGGCAGCAGUUUCCAAGUACCAGUACAGACAUUAUUUUGUUAAUUUCUCACACCAGCCAUGAGAAACAAGCCAGAGGAGUAUAAUUAUUUCCACCUCCCAAGUGGGAACACAGAAGAGGAGCCCGCAGCCCUGCCUGGAUCUGCUCCUCCCGACAGGGCAUUACUUCCCGGUAUCGGAACGCGGCCAAGGAGCACCACGCUGCCGGUGUCCCGGCCUCGCGCCCCACCCGUGUCGCCUAAAGGAGCCCGGCCGCUCUGGGACCCAGACUCCACGCACGUGUCCGAUACAGACGUGCACGUUCUCUCGGCCCAAACCACACCAGCAGAAGUGCCCAAAAUUCCGUGGAUGUCAUAAAUCACUAAAUCAAGCAUGAGAGUAAUAAGAAGUUUGUGAUGGGGGAGUAAAAGAAAUGAAGAGGUCCCAAGAUUGGAAAAUCUCAUUAUGGGCCAC
Molecule: long non-coding RNA, 553 nt
Organism: Neofelis nebulosa (Clouded leopard)
Lineage: Eukaryota; Metazoa; Chordata; Mammalia; Carnivora; Felidae
Exons: 3
Source: RefSeq, a predicted model, not a curated record